This 399-nucleotide transfer-messenger RNA is filed under the name Oscillospiraceae bacterium. It matches the Rfam family "transfer-messenger RNA". Rfam says of the family: Bacterial tmRNA, also known as 10Sa RNA or SsrA, is named for its dual tRNA and mRNA-like properties. Its role is to liberate the mRNA from a stalled ribosome. The record is from RNAcentral. Lineage: Bacteria; Bacillati; Bacillota; Clostridia; Eubacteriales; Oscillospiraceae.
GGGGACGUAAAGGUUUCGACGGGGGUUAUGAACUCCGGUAAGCGCGCCGAGCAUCGUGUAAGCUCGUAAAUAUCGCACGAAAGAAAUAUAAACGCUAAAACUAAUUUUACCCUUUCUCGCAAUGACGCUACUUCUGUAGCGUUCGCUGCCUAAAAGGUCUUAACCGCCUAAUCGCGGUUCGUUCGACGGAGAGUUACCCGCACUUUCCUGUUCGGGCGUGAAUGAGUCGGGAAACGCUUGCAAGAGUUUUCGUGUAUUGCAAGGCAGAUUUUACGAAUGCAACGCAGUAAACCGCGCCGUUUCGGGGGGCUGUGCCAUAGUAAAAAUAUACGGAUAAGCGCGUAGAAAGCUGUACGGAUUGAUUUUCGGACGCGGGUUCGAUUCCCGCCGUCUCCACCA